Molecule: transfer RNA, 91 nt
Filed under: Sulfodiicoccus acidiphilus
Lineage: Archaea; Thermoproteati; Thermoproteota; Thermoprotei; Sulfolobales; Sulfolobaceae
Rfam family: tRNA
About the family: Transfer RNA (tRNA) molecules are approximately 80 nucleotides in length. Their secondary structure includes four short double-helical elements and three loops (D, anti-codon, and T loops).
Source: Rfam by way of RNAcentral
AGCGGGGUAGGGUAGCCUGGUUAGCCCGCGGGGCUCAUAGCCUCAAAGGCGAGAGACCCCGAGGUCCCUGGUUCAAAUCCAGGCCCCGCUA